This 501-nucleotide unclassified non-coding RNA is filed under the name Hevea brasiliensis (rubber tree). Lineage: Eukaryota; Viridiplantae; Streptophyta; Magnoliopsida; Malpighiales; Euphorbiaceae. The record is from RNAcentral.
AGGAGAGCAUUCUCUUCAUCCUAUGUCAAAUUUAUGCCAGUUACUACUUAAAUCGAUUGAUUAAUCCCAUGCCAGUAACAUGAAGCACAAGCAAGCAAUAUAAAGAGCAGAACAAGCCAGCAAAUGAUAAGACAUAAUAUUUAGGUCCAAACUCUAAUUAGAAAAAAGUUUUAUUUUAGAAGCAGCACACACUACAGUUUUUGCAAUAAUGGAAGACAAUUAUAAAGGUGAAACUUUCUUCCAUAGUAACAAUUCUGCAUCUUCAUUGAAAACAUUCGUAAUACAAGUUUAUAAUGUGGUGAAGCUCUGUUAGCAUUUUGAGAAACCCAAGCUCAGCCUAACAGGUCAAGGGUUCAAACUGGUCCAAAUGUCCAGUCUGAUUGAAGAAGCACGAUGAAAUAGCAUAAGAAAGCUCAGGAAUAUAGGGACAAAAAAAAAAAAUGAAUCGCAUCAUACAAAUUAGCAUUCGCCACCAACUAUUAAAAGCAGGCAAGAACAAAA